Molecule: ribosomal RNA, 407 nt
Filed under: uncultured bacterium
Lineage: Bacteria
Description: partial 16S ribosomal RNA
Rfam family: Bacterial small subunit ribosomal RNA
Source: RNAcentral
GACGAACGCUGGCGGCGUGCUUAACACAUGCAAGUCGAACGCGGUGGCGAACGGGUGAGUAACGCGUAAUCAACCUGCCCUCAGAGGGGUACAACAGUGGGAAACGACUGCUAAUACCGCUUACUGAAGGAGGGGCUUGCGUGUGAUUAGCUAGUUGGAGGGGUAACGGCCCACCAAGGCGAUGAUGAAGAGCCGGGCUGGGAGGAUGAUCGGCAACAUUGGGACUGAGACACGGCCCAGACUCCUACGGGAGGCAGCAGUGGGGAAUCUUCCGCAAUGGACGAAAGUCUGACGGAGCAACGCCGCGUGAGUGAUGACGGCCUUCGGGUUGUAAAGCUCUGUUAAUCGGGACGCGGUACCGGAAUAGAAAGCCACGGCUAACUACGUGCCAGCAGCCGCGGUAAUUC